AGAGUUUGAUUAUGGCUCAGGAUGAACGCUGGCGGCGUGCCUAAUACAUGCAAGUCGAACGAGGUAGCAAUACCGAGUGGCGAACGGGUGAGUAACACGUAGGUAACCUGCCCUUAAGCUUGGGAUACCCAGAGGAAACUUUGGCUAAUACCGGAUAACAACAGAGAAGGCAUCUUCUUUGCUUGAAAGGCCCUUCAAGGGUCACUUAAGGAUGGACCUGCGGCGCAUUAGCUAGUUGGUGAGAUAACAGCCCACCAAGGCGAGGAUGCGUAGCCGAACUGAGAGGUUGAUCGGCCACAUUGGAACUGAGACACGGUCCAAACUCCUACGGGAGGCAGCAGUAAGGAGUUUUCGGCAAUGGGGGAAACCCUGACCGAGCAACGCCGCGUGAGCGAUGACGGCCCUAUGGGGUUGUAAAGCUCUGUUGUAAGCCAUGAAUGACAGCUUGAGGAAAUGCAAGUUGUUUGACGACAGCUUACCAGAAAGCCACGGCUAACUACGUGCCAGCCGCGGC
Molecule: ribosomal RNA, 514 nt
Filed under: uncultured bacterium
Lineage: Bacteria
Description: bacterial SSU rRNA
Rfam family: Bacterial small subunit ribosomal RNA
Source: RNAcentral